Molecule: RNA transcript, 4043 nt
Organism: Triticum aestivum (bread wheat)
Lineage: Eukaryota; Viridiplantae; Streptophyta; Magnoliopsida; Poales; Poaceae
Gene name: putative disease resistance protein RGA1
Exons: 2
Source: RefSeq, a predicted model, not a curated record
UUGGCUGGUGUAGAUGUGAAGCACUGCAGUGGUGGACUGCUUUUGGCUCGUCAAGAGCAGCAGCAACCAUCAUCAGAGCUCGGAGGAGGCACCACCCAACACACUCCGGAAUCAAACUUAGCCAGUGGAUGCAAGCCCUCCAUCUCCAUGGAGGAAGAUGGCGGCUUGGAUGCUGCAAGCCUGGCGGAGGCGCUGCAGCUGGUCCUCUCGGCGUUUCGGGCCAUGGAGGGACUGGCCGCCCAGAUCCACUCCUGCCACAGGACCCGUCGGAAAUGGGAGCUUAGGAGGUGCCGGUCCAAGGUCGCCGACCCGGAUCUGGACCUUCUCAUCGCCCAUCUGCUCCAGAUCUGGAGCAUAUGUGCCGGCGCCUACCCACAGCGUGCCGGCGACAAGGCUCUGGCUCUGCAGGCCAGGGACGCCGUCCACUUCAUGGAGGCCCUGCAGGACAAGCUCCAGUACGGUAAACUUCAACCCAGCCAUGGAUCCAAGCUCCUUUCCGCUCUGAGGUGGUGUGGUUGCAGCCGUCUUCUUGUUGCACUGUUUGCGUCCAAGCCAACCCACAGGGUCAUGAGGGGCAUCAAGGUGGUGAAUCAAGAAACUCGCAAGAUUGGCAUCCUGCUGUAUGGGCGCAGGCUCAGCUUCCAAUUCGCCCAUGCCUGAUUCAGGCAGGCAAGUUAUUCAGACUGGGGUGUUUGUUGGGCGCCACAAGGAGAGGGAUGACGUCGUGCACAUGCUCAUCAAGCCAUGCGCCAAGGUUACUGCACCUGACAUGAUGGUUUCCAUUGUUGGUACUGCAGGAAUUGGGAAGACCACGCUCACUCAGAUGGUAUUCAAUGAUACAAGAGUUGCCAAGCAUUUUGAAGUCAGAUGUUGGGUGUCAGUUUCCACUGGUUCCAACACAAUGGAGCUCACAGCCGAGAUCUUAAGGUCAGCCCAGCCACCUUGGGAUAUAUCUGUUGACAAGAUGGUGGAUUUUCAAAUGAUUCAGUCCGAGCUCCGUCGACUUGUUACAUCCAAGAGGUAUCUCAUUGUUAUUGAUGAUGUAUGUAAUGGCAUGGACGAGAUCUGGCUGGACAUGAUGCCUCCUCUACAGUCAGCAGAUAUUGGUAGCAGAAUUCUGGCAACUUCUCGCAUCAACACUGUCCCUCACUUCCUCGGUGCGUCGCAGCUAUACCCUGUAAAUCCGCUCAGUAGCGACGAUUGCUGGGCCAUGCUCAAGGAACAUGCUUUUCCAAGUGGGCGCGAGAAUGCCUAUCCAGAUCUUCACCCAAUCGGGAAGCAGAUUGCUGUAAAAAUCAAUGGGUCACCUCUGGCUGCCAAGCUGGUGGGAGUUUUGCUGGGAGAUACAAGGACCAAAAAUCACUGGAUGAAGAUCAUGAAAACAGGAUUACAAGACAAUGCUGUUCUACCUGCCCUGCGCUUGAGCUAUAAGUACCUACCGGUACACCUCAAGCGGUGCUUCGCAUAUUGCAGUUUGUUUCCACAGAACUAUAAGUUUGAUCCAGCACACUUGUCCCGCCUUUGGAUUGCCGAGGGUUUUGUUCAACCACAAGGCACGGCUGACAAAAGGAUGGAAGACAUAGCUAGAGAAUAUUUUGGUCUGCUCCUUUCACGCUCAUUUUUCCAAGAAAUCAAGCUUGGAUCCAGGACUUACUACUUAAUGCAUGACUUACUCCAUGAUCUUGCAAAGUCUGUUGCAGCAGAGGACUGCUUCCAUAUUGAGGAUGGCAUGAAUUGUGACAUCCCAUCAACAGUGCGCCAUCUGUCGGUCACUGUGAAGAGUCUAAUUGGUCUCACAAGCUUCCCUGGGCUAGAAGAGCUGCGCACCUUGUUAAUCCGACCAUCACUUCUGUCCUCCUCCAGUUGCCUCCAAGAAGAUUUUUCUUUGAAUUUAGAAAAUAUCUUGUUGAAGUGCAAACAUUUGCGUGUUCUUGAUCUCAGCGGCUAUAACUCCAAAGAGUUGCCUCAUUGCAUUUAUGACUUACUGCACCUCCGUUACCUAUCUAUCAAUGCCACCAUCCAAAAACUUCCGGAGUUGAUUGGAAAGCUUCUGCAUCUGCAAACAUUGUGCAUCACUGGGAAAUGUUCCCUUGAGAAGCUUCCUGCGAGCGUUAAUAUGUUGGUCAAUAGCGGCAUCUUAUGGUUGAAAUAAAGUAUACUGCAGGAAUGGUAGGCAUUGGCCGGCUAGCAAACCUCCAGGGAUCACUUGAGCUCCACGUUGAGAAGAGGGAAGGGCGCAAACCAGAAGAGUUGAGGAACAUCAAUGGUCUUCAUGGGUUACUAAAUAUAAAAUGUCUAGAAAAUGUUUCAGGCUAUGAAGAAGCCCGCAAAGCUGAGUUGAAUAAGAAACUUUAUCUUAAUUCUCUGAAUUUGGAACGGAGCUCAGCUAGUAGAAAUAGCUCCCCUCCUGCUGAUGAAGAGGUGCUUGAAGGUCUGCGGCCUCACCAUGUCAUAAAGGUACUUCAUAUUAGAAGGUAUUGUGGCGCAGAAGCUCCCAGUUGGCUGCAGUCACUGCAGCAACUGCGUUCCUUGCACCUUAUCAAUUGCAGGAGUUUGUGUAUCCUUCCUCCAUUGGGAAAUUUAGGAUCACUCAGAUAUUUACACAUGAAGGAGAUGUGUGCAGUUGAUCAAAUUGGACAUGAGUUUUAUGGCACCGGUGAUGUGGCAUUUCCAUCUCUAAUUGUCCUUGAAUUUGAUGAUUUCCCGAAGUUGUGUGAGUGGGCUGGCAUAGAGGACAAGAACUCAUUUCCAUGCCUUGAAAGGGUAAGUCUGAUGGAUUGUCCAGAAUUGAUCAAAAUUCCUUCAACCAAGCUACUCGUGAAGUUACCAUCAAACGUACACGGUUGAUACCAUAUAUGAGGCUUGCACCCUGUUCUUCAAGUUCAGAAAUGCUCCAGCUGGAUGUUUGCACAAGUUCUGUCAUCCUCAAUAGAUUACUCUACAAACAUCAUAUACAGUCCAUUGCAGUGUUAAAUAUAAGUAGGGCUGAGCAGCUUGCUGCUGCUGAACAACUGGGGUCUCUGGUAUCUCUGCAAAAACUUCAGCUCUCUUGGUUUGAUCUUACUGACCAGACUCUAAGAAGCUUUCUCCAGGAUCUGCCUUGUUUUUCUUCUUUGGAGAUUACAGACCUUCCUAACAUAACAUCACUUCCAGUAGCAGGAACUGUCAAGUUCUGCACAAUGCUCACUGAGUUGUGCAUUCGCAACUGUCAAUCGCAACUGUCAAUCGCUUUGUUCUCUAUCCUCAUUGCAGUAUCUUGCUUCACUAAAAUAUCUGGUGAUCGAGAGGUGCCCUGAAGUAACUGCAAUAUCAUUUCCUGUGAACUUUAUGAGCCUUUCAUAUCUGAAGGUGCUGAGAAUGUCGUACUGCACGGAGCUUCAAUCUUUACCGGAUCUGCCGUCCUCCCUGGAAACACUUCAUAUCUUUCGGUGCCACCCUGAAUUGUCCAGGCAAUCAAGAAACAUGAAAGGGCAUUAUGUUGAGAAGCUUGCAGUUGUGCCUAGUGUAUCGAUUGAGGAACAGAAUAUUGUGAAGGAUGCUGAAACGCUGGAGGCAACAAGUUUGAAGUAUCAACUCGCCUUGUGAUAGUCAAAGGGAUAUCUUCACCAUUGUACUGAAGUCCCGAAAUCCAAAUCAGCCGCGCAGUCUGGCGAAAAUUUGUGAAUAAAUGGGGGGAAAACCAGGCCGAUAGAGCUGUGCAGAGCAGCAGUUCUCUUCCGCCUUUGUCGCACCCUUUCCCCCUGGUUCUUGCAGUUGUAAUCGCCUAGCAUGUUCAACUAGCGGACUGUUUCUUUAAAAAAAAAAUACAAAAACUAGUGGACUGUUGAGAUCUUGCUUUUUAUCAGAACAAUUUGCUGUACUUUUGCUUUUGUUGUGUUCUAUGUAAUUCGUGGAUUGUAUUUGGAUAUUUGGAAUCGUAUAAACCUGUGUGGUUGUGCGGUGCUGUGUGCGCUAGUUUAGGAGCUUGUAUUCAACCAAUGUAAUGUUUUGGACAAGUGAUUUGCUGUUAUUUGCAUUUGCACGGCUAGACAUCCUAUUUUUUA